UAUUUCAUAGAGACUAGUAUCACAUUCAUAUCACAGGAUGCAACAACAUCGAUCUAUUCUUGUACCUGCCUCGUACAGCAUCAUAAAAUCCUGAUUGAUCAGUUAAAGCUUUAUCUGAAAUUGAACCUGUAAACAAUUCAAG
This is a long non-coding RNA of Haliotis rubra (blacklip abalone), 142 nucleotides long. RefSeq lists it as uncharacterized. The transcript is spliced from 3 exons. Lineage: Eukaryota; Metazoa; Mollusca; Gastropoda; Lepetellida; Haliotidae. The record is from RefSeq and is a predicted model, not a curated record.